Molecule: long non-coding RNA, 1384 nt
Filed under: Chinchilla lanigera (long-tailed chinchilla)
Lineage: Eukaryota; Metazoa; Chordata; Mammalia; Rodentia; Chinchillidae
Description: lncRNA (ENSCLAG00000028472.1)
Source: RNAcentral
GCCUGCCUCCCAGCCCCUUUUGGGAGCUGUUGGCGAGGAGCUGGGAGCCGUGCAGCACCCGUGUCACUGUGUCUCAGCGAACCCAGCUGUAAUCACCGGGCCUUCUGCAGCAGGAAGCUGCCCGUCGCAGUGGCCGAGCCCGGUGGACGGCGCUGCGGCGGCGACUCCCUUGCAGCCCAGCUCUUCAGCCCCCUCUGGGCGCUCGACCUUCCGUGCAGGAAGCUUCCUCCAUCUUCCUUGCUCCAGGAGCUGCCUCCAAAACAGCGCACAGGGAUCCCUCGCACACAGCAGCACUCCCCGCAAAGGCCUUCGGAGUCUGAGUCCAAAUGCUCAGAGGAAGGCAGAGGGCCCCAAGCGCCCAGUCUCCAGCAGGUCCUGAACACUCCUGCCUCGGCCUCCCUGCCCAUCCCCAUUCCUCCUCCUUUCACCCCUGGCCUUCUCACCCAGGUGAGGAGCAGUGGAGAAGUCAGUCCAGCAGCGCUAUCGGAGAGGAGUCCCCACCAGGCCAACUCAGGAGGUGGCACUGUGUGGGACGUGAAAGGGCCGGGGCGUCCCUGCCUCUCCCACCAGCGCUCCCGGCGGCGCUGCACACUGCACCCUGUGAGUUCAGAUGCACCCUCAGCCUGGGACUGCCCUCUGAGCGCACUCCCACCGGCUGGUGCAAUCAGCGCGGCUUCUUUGGCUAGGCUCUGCCAUUUGGCGUUCUGCCUAGUGCUGGGAUCCUUUGCUGGUCGUGGUGGCUGCUGGACUCUGGAGCUUUGCAGUGAUAAAAGCACCUCUUGCUCAUCGCUCUCUCUUCGCAGAUGACCAGUGUGUCUACACUACCCAAGAUGAGUACUUACAGGACUUUUGGAGUCCACGUUCCCUGAGAAAUAAAUCAGGAGCAGGUUUGCAGGACCACAGGGGAAAGGCUUUAUUUUCUCAGUACAGGGGGGUCAGUAGACUGGAUGGAGCCCUCCUACACUAACCUGAGCAGUGUGAGGGGACCGCUGCUUCUACAGCAGCUCCGGGCCUGUGGUGUGCCCAGAGCAGGCCUGGCACUGGUGUGGAGUUCCAAGACAGGCAGUGAAGAGGCGGGGCUGAAACCAGGAAGUCUUCUAGGAGGCUAGCUGUGGGGUGGGGUAGGGGAUGUCAGCAAUGGGACCGGUCCCCUCCCUGGUCUUAGCCAGCUGGGGUGCCCUGUGCCCAUGCAGUUUGUUCAGGAAGGCAAGGGCAGCCUCUGAAGUAGGAGGGCAGGGGGAGCGUGCUGUGUGGAUCAUCCAGCUGCACCCACCAUGGAGUGGGGUGGACUGAGUGCCGUAGAGUGAGGUGGAGUGCAGUGCAGUGGAGAGGAGAAGAGUGGAGUGCAGUGCAGUGGAGAGGAGAAGAGUGGAGUACAGUGCAG